Hypanus sabinus (Atlantic stingray) is the source of this 6809-nucleotide long non-coding RNA. RefSeq lists it as uncharacterized. NCBI's taxonomy places the organism in Eukaryota, Metazoa, Chordata, Chondrichthyes, Myliobatiformes, Dasyatidae. The transcript is spliced from 3 exons. The record is from RefSeq and is a predicted model, not a curated record.
UUUAUGCUCGUUGGAAAUUGCAUGUUCGACUCAGGCACAUCUGCAGCUGCUGCACCCACUUCCUGUGCUGUUACCAACCCUCAAGUUAUAUCAAAAGCUUUAGUUGAAAAAAUAGUGCUUGUAACUGGAAACUGCAGAAACAUAUCUAGUUCCACAAGGCAGUUGAAGCUUUAAUCUAAAAAGCCCUUUAGUGAAUAAAAUUAGACAUAGGUCAUUGCUGAAUUCAGACAUCUAAUUAUUUUUUAAUUAGUAAAAAUUCUUGAUGCAGUAUUUUAUAUUUAUGCUUAUACACAAGGAUAGUUUUCCUGUUAAGUAAUCUCCUCCCUAUCAAUACACCACUAGUUUCACAGACCAAACCUUGGUCAAAUAUAAUUCCAAGCAACCUGUGAACAGGAGUCUGAUGACCAAGACUAGAGGUGUACUAAGAGGGAUGUAAAGAAAUACUAUGGUUUAGAGAACUUGACUGCAUUGCUCUAUUUUGGAAGCACUAAAGACCCAAGAGUUGAAUGAUCUGUGCAGGAGCAUAUUUAUAACCACAGUUUUCUUUUUCCCCGGCUGAUAAAACACAAGAGCACACAUUUAAAAAACUACUAGUCAUGAGGCAAGCAUCUUCCUGAUCCUGCUCACUGCCUCGAUGGACUCUAUCCUCACUCAUUGUGAAUUAAUAAACAUACUGAAAUAGUCAUUUACAAUGAAUUACUUUAUUAAAAGUCAACAGCCUAUGUCACUAAACAAGUACCCAGGCACUCCAAUAAAUACUGAACAGCAAUCAAGAUUUUCUGUAAUGCAAGAAAAAACUACCUAUAAAUAAUCUGUUUCAAAAUGAAAGUAGACAAUGCAAUGGCACACAAGGGAAUGGCCAUUCAAAGUUGAGGUUGUGUUGAAGUUUCUUUAAGAGAUUCAUAGUUGUACAGUAUGUAAACAACCACCUUAACAAACUUGACUAUGUCCAUUUAUGCUAAAUCCACUUAUCUGCACAUGGCCUACAUUACUGUAAACCUUUCCUAUCCAAAUCUCUUUUAAACACUGUAAUUGUACCCACCUACUUCUUCUGGCAGUUUGAUCCAUACAUUCACCACUCUCUGAGUGGAAAAAAAUGCCCCUCAGAUCGCCUUUAAUUUGUUCCCCUCUCACCUUUAACCUAUGCCCUUGGGUUUUCCUCUCCCUGAAAAAGAACUGUGACUAUCUACUCUAUCUAUAGCAUGUUCCUAUUAAUUGUAUAGUCUGCUGCAAGGCCAGCCCACAGCCUCCACUGCUCCAAGAAAAACAGUCCUAGCCUGUCCAAUCUCUCCUUGCAGCUCAAGUCUUCCAGUCCUGGGAGCAUCUUUUCUGCACCUUCUCUAGUUUAAUCAUAUCCUUCCCAUAGCUGACAAGAUGACACUUCUCAUAGUGACAAGAACUGCACAUAAUACUCAAAGGGCAGUUUAACCAGUGACUUCUGCAAUUGUAACAUGAUGUCUCAAAGCAUACCAAUACGCCUUUUUCAACACCCUGUCUACUUAUGUUGCCUAUUUUUAGGGAAUUAUGCAUUUUAAAGUCGAGCUGUCUGAUAGCACACCCCAUAACAUAGAACAGUAUGCAAAGGAACAGUCACUUUGGCCACAUUGACAGUGCCAACCACAUUUACACCCGCCCACAAAUGGUCUAUACCCAUUCAUUCCCUGUUUGUUCACAUGCCUGUUGAAAUGCCUUCGAAACAUGCUUUCAAAGGCACUUCCUUGUACCAGUUCCUCUGGCAGCGAGUUCCAGGCAUCUACCAUGCAGAAUGGCCUUCCCAUUCACUGUGUUCUCCACUUACAGCAGGGGUUCCCAACCUGGGAUCCAUGGACCCCUUGCUUAAUGGUAAUGAUCCAUGACAUAAAAAAGGUUGGGAACCUCUGAUGUUGUGGGUAAUGAAUUGCUGAAAUUCUCUGCUCCUGAGGACGGGGAGGUCAGAUAAAUAAAUAUAUUUAUGUUAGAGGUAGAUAAGUAUUUCAAGGAUUGAGGAACCAAGGAUUACAGGAAACUGAAGCAGAAGAGGAGUUUACUUCAGCCAUGAUCAUACUGAAUGACUGGGCAGGUUUGAGGAGUGAAUGGGCUACUCUUGCUCUUGUUUUGUUGUGUUAUGCUUCUGCACCACAACCUCUCACCUCUGCACACACUGAUACGCAGAUUCUUGGCUGAACUCAGCUCAAGUGAGCUGUGGUUAAUUUGUUUUUGUGUGGUGUUAAAUGCCACAAGGUUUUAAUGACUAGCAGUGGAAAUAUUCUUUUUUUUCUUCAAAUACAGAUUGAUAGAUAAUUUAAAUCAAUUUUGAAAGCCUGUGCAAAAUGCAAGAGAGAAUAAUCAAACAUAAAACAGAAACUUCAGUUAACAUCAACAUAAGCUCAGAUGCAGUUCCCUAUUAUGUGACAUCGAGCGAACCCUUCCUAGAAUAUGCUGGCUAAUGCUUACAUAUGUCUGAGAUUAUUACAUUGUUGAUUGGCUUAUUAUUGUCACAUCUACCAAGACAGUGGAAAAACUUUGUUUUCUAUGUUACUUAUUUAUUGAGAUACAGCACGGAUUAGGCCCUUCUGACCCUCCGAGCCAUGCCGACCAGCAAUCCCCCAAUUUAUUCCUAGCCUAAUCUUGGAACAAUUUAUAAUAACCAAUCAAACUCCAAACCAGUACGUCUUUGGACAAUGGGAGGAAACCAGAGCAUCUACAAGAAACCCACACCUGUACUGUAAAGUUCUGCUAACCACUAUGCUACUGUGCUGCCUUAUACAUAAGUGAAUUCCAAACAUAAGCAGUACAAAGGGAAGAAAAAUAAAAUGUACACCUUUUGACCAUGUGUGUUACAGGCAUUACUCUGCCCCUUCUUCACUCCUUGGGAUCAAGGGGUUUCCAUUCUGAAUCCAUGGUUGUGAAGUUACUGAUGUAGCUGGUGGGACAAUACAGACUCUGCCAAAGUAGUAAUUGAUUGGGCAAGUGGUUGACUAGUUUGGGAGGAUGUGGGCUCCUUCUACCAUUUUAGCAGUGUUUCAGUGUGCUCCUAAUGCAUUGGGCUUGAGAUUCUCAAUGCCAUCCCAAAUGCUUCUUCUCUAAUUUGAGCAGCUGUGGGCUGGGAUUUCCUGGGGUACUGGGGUUGUCAUAUUUUCUUCCCCCCACCCUCCCAGGAAUGCUUUGAGAACAUCCUCAGAUCUUUCCCUCUGCUGAUGUGAUGAAUACGUCCUGUGGCACAGUUUGGAAUGCAGGUGUUUGGUGAUGAGUUUGUCAAUGAUCUACCAAAAGUAGUUGACUGAGUGUAAGUAGGACCUGAUUUCCGGGAAUUAUAGAGUCAUACAGUAUGGAUACAUACAGUCCCAUUUGACUGCUUUUGGCCUAUAUUCCUCUAAAGUCUUCCUAUCCUUGUACCUAUCCAAGUAUCUUUUAAAUGCACGGGGACUGGGAGAGAAGACCAACAACGGUUCACUUAUUCUCUCAAGUGGAAAGCAGCAUUGGCACCCAUGUCGGACGACACACCACAUAAUGAAGAAUCUUCAAACACUUUUCCUCAGUAGGCCAUGAACUGUAAUGGUGAAGUUCAUCAUCGGUGUGUAUUUUCAAUGAGGGACAUCACUUCAGAUACAUAAGGAGUUCACUUUCUCCAUGACAUCCCUGUGAACUUUUAUUGUUGGAUGACAGCAUUAUAGAAUGGGGGCAGUUUGGGACAGGAUCCUUGCCUUGCAGAAGCAGAGUGCAAGGUGCACCAUUCCCAAUGCUUCAGUGAGUGAGGUUAAGAGCUGGGCCCAAAGCAAGUUGCUGGGCAGCGGUCUAGGCUAAUAUGAUGAACUGAUAAGUGAGGCUUUGGGCCUACUCCAGAUAUUUGGAUCUGAGGACUUAACUUUGGUUAGGAAUGCUGUUGUUCACUUCAAUUGUUUGCAUGGCUUGCAUUUUUUCCCUUUCUUUUGCGCAUCUAGUGUUAGUCUUUUAUUUUUAUUUUUAUUCUUUUUUUAAAUUGGGUUCUUUCAGGUUUCUUGCUUUGUGGCUACCUGCGAGCAAGCAAAUCUCAAGGUUGCACAGUUUAUACAAUCAUUGAUAAUAAAUAUACUUGAAUCUUGAAACAUAAGCAAUGCCUGAAGCAGAACAACUAUGGCUGGGGUGACCUUGAUUCUAUAGUACAGGAACUGUUUAUCUGCUCUAAUUCCCUUCAUACAAGAUCUUCAAGGAUACUGAACAGAGGGCAAGCACCUGCUGACUAUGGUACAGCCAUAGAGUGCAAUCUCAUUUCUUCAUUUUAAUUUUCUUCAAUGGAAUCAGGUCACACCUCAAUUACCUUAUUUUAUCUCAGAGGCUGGAAAAAAGAAGUCAAAUGGCAAAAGGCAUCAGACAAGCAAUUGCUUUUCUAUAGUUACCACUUUUCACCUGAAAAGUAAAUAACAUUAGUUGUAGAAAUAAGUCAAUUGCUGGUGAAUGACUGCAUUGUUUUAGUUUGCUUGUAUUUGCUGACAUUGCUACUAGGGAGUCUGGCAUACUCCCUCCUUGAUUUAUAGGAGGCUGGCACAAUUGAAUUAAAAUUUGUGUUACUUUAAGAGGGAUUCAUAUAAAAGCAAGAUCAAAAAUAUUAUCUCCAAGACAGACGUAAUUAUAGUUGCUUGUAAUUACUGCAGUAUCCUGACCCACUUAUGUCACUCACACACACCUCAGAUGGAGGUACAACACCCUGAACUAACAUAAUAACUCAAACAUAUCACUAACACCAACCAAUACUUUCAAUCUCAAACCAUGCUUAGUUACAGUAUUUGGAUGAAGACCACUUUUCAAAAAUUGCUCAUUCUUGCAAAUAAAUUUAUUCCAAAAUUAAAUGGAGCUUAUUAACAAGGCAUGUAUUUGGAGAGAACAGAGAGUAAGUAAGGAAACAAUAAACGACUAGGUAUAUGGACAGGAAAGGAAUGGAGAGUUAUGGGCUGAGUGCAGGCCAGUGGGACUAGGUGAGAGUAAGUGCUUGGCAAGGACUAGAAGGGCCGAGAUGUCCUGUUUCCGUGCUGUAAUUGUUAUAUGGUUAUAUUUUCACUUCAAACAAAGGCAUCUUCAUUCAAUUGUAUAAAACUUACAAAAAAGUGCAAAAAAUGAAUAAUGAGAUAGCGUUUAUAGACUGUUCAGAAAUCUAAUGGUAGAGAGGAAGAAGAAAUUCUUAAAAUAUGGAGUCUUCAGGCUCCUGUAACACCCUCCUGAUGGUAGUAAUGCAAACUGGAAACAAGUGUGAAGGAGAUGGGGAAAGAAAAAUUUAUGAAGACAUUUUACAAAAGUUAAAGAAAUUAAAGAUUAUUUCUGCAUUCCAGGAUGAUCCAGGGACAGUGAGCAUCUUUGGCAGGUAAUAUUAAUUAGAGGUUUAAGUGGCCUAGCUUGGUGACGGCUUAGCACAUCGACUCAGGCCCUUAUUAUUUUGUGUGAAGGACAGGAUCAGGAAGCAACCAAGGUGAGCAGUGGUAAAGAUAGAGCUGAGUGCUUUAAUCACAUUAACCGCUUUAGAAAUAUUACAGAAUAUGGAAGGUUGCAAGGCAAAGGUUAAACAUAAGCUCAUGGAAAUGCAAAAAUUAAGCAUAUUAUAACAUUUGCACAUCAAUAUUUUCUGCUUUUUAUAAAUUGCAUUUGACAAUACAGAGGCUCCUGUAAUAAAAUUCAGGAUCUGUUACUGACUUGGACAAAACAGUGAUCACACUUGUUAGAGCCAGUCACAUCUAAUGUUAGUAAGGCCAAAGUACACCUCGGCCAACAGCAUUGAUUACUGUUCAUGCACAGUUGGGCAUUGGUUUGUAGCCUGCUAGAAUGCGGACACAUGGGGCCCUGAAAAGAACAUGAAAAGCUUCUCCAUAGUGGGAGUCCAGGAGCUUAUUGACGAAAGCUGGAAGCAGAGGCAGGUGCUUCCUCAAGGGAAAGCUGGUAUCACUCAACGAGCACUCGGCCUGUGAGCAGCUCUCUACGCCUUCUCAGUCUUGUUUGUAUUGAUUUAAUAUUGUGGCUAGAGCUCUGCGUGGACAGCACGGAUUGAAGGGAAGUGGAAGGAAUGAAACGCGCUCCAUGUAGAUGCACUCAAUGAUCUGAGGAAGAAUUAUUUCACCCAGAAGAUGGUUGAAUUGUAGAAUGCAUUCCUUGUGAAGAUGCUUGAGGUAACUACCCCAAAACCAUUUAAGAAGUUUCUGAACAAGCACUUGAAUCACCAAGGCAAUGUGGGCUGUGGACCAGAUGCUGGUGAAUGGGAUUAGUAUAGGUUGACAGCUGGCUGACGUUAUUUUUGGUUUGCUGCUGGCGGCAAAUUUAAGUUUGGCGUUUUUCAUAAAUACAAGAAGGACUCAAAUAGACAUUGAGUAUUUUACUUAAAAGUAACCUUCAACCCAACGUCUUUUUUUCGGAGGUCAAAAUGUUUUUGUUGCAUGCAGAAAUGUAAUUUCGUUUUCUCUGCAGGAGUUCAUCAAUUUCAUAAAUGCAACACAUUAUAGUUUGUUUAUACAUAGCAUAAAGGCAAAACAAAACGAUGUAUGCAGUGUUAUUUCAUUUUAAAUGUCAAACGGGUUUUGUGGCUCCCAGUGUUUUCUUUUCUGUGGGAAAUGGGUCCAAGUGGCUCUUUCAGUGGUAAAGGUUGCUGACCCCUGGUCUAGGGGGUUGCUGGGUGCCAUGGCUCAAAGGAUUGCAAGGGCCCACUCUGUGCUGUAUCUCAAUAAAUAUUUUUCUGUAUGAAACUUGUAGCUAUGAGUGUUUCCUGGGAUCGUGUUCAGUUCUGAAUGCAACUGGUCUGGAGAUAGUUGUACCAUCUCCAAACCUUCCUUCACAAACUAUCUUCAGUGCUCUCAUCCCAGAGGAGUGAUGAG